UAUCUCUGUAGAGUCUGCAUAUCAAUAAGCGGAGGAAAAGAAACUAACAAGGAUUCCCUUAGUAACGGCGAGUGAAGCGGGAAGAGCUCAAAUUUGAAAUCUUCAAGGUUUUACCUUGACGAAUUGUAGUUUAAAGAAGUGUUUUCUGUUGAAGUUUCGGUAAAAGUUCUUUGGAAUAGGACAUCAUAGAGGGUGAGAAUCCCGUAUUUGACCGUUAUUUUCAGCUGUGUGAUGCACUUUCAAAGAGUCGGAUUGUUUGGGAAUGCAGUCCAAGAUGGGUGGUAAAUUUCAUCUAAAGCUAAAUAUUGGCGAGAGACCGAUAGCGAACAAGUACCGUGAGGGAAAGAUGAAAAGAACUUUGAAAAGAGAGUUAAACAGUACGUGAAAUUGUCAAAAGGGAAGCGUUUGACACCAGUGUUGCUUAGUUGAAAAUCAAUUCAAUAGUUUUUGAUUCUAAGUAGUAUUGACUUCAUCAGCUUGCUGCUUUCUUCUCAGAAAUUAUUGAAUGCACUUUUCAGUUAACAAGUCAACAUCAAUUUCUUUUGUUGUAAAAGGGUAAGAGGAAGGUGGCUUGCGCUUCGGCUCAAGUGUUUAUAGCCUUUUAUCUUCUGCAAUCGGAGAGAUUGAGGUCUGCAGCGUAGAUCCUUCGGGGUUAGAUACAUUGGUGCUAAGCUAUAGCCUUGUAUAGACAACUUGUUGACUAUGCUCAGUCAUGUAGCUUACUCGCUGAUGCUAUUUUACCUACGCUUAGGAUGUUGAACGCGCACAGAGUCUC
This 775-nucleotide ribosomal RNA is filed under the name uncultured Neocallimastigales. Its description in RNAcentral is "partial large subunit ribosomal RNA". It matches the Rfam family "Eukaryotic large subunit ribosomal RNA", at positions 24 to 641 of the family's 3401-position model. Lineage: Eukaryota; Fungi; Neocallimastigomycota; Neocallimastigomycetes; Neocallimastigales. The record is from RNAcentral.